Molecule: long non-coding RNA, 239 nt
Filed under: Elaeis guineensis (African oil palm)
Lineage: Eukaryota; Viridiplantae; Streptophyta; Magnoliopsida; Arecales; Arecaceae
Description: long non-coding RNA (EGUI_LNC069822)
Source: RNAcentral
UGCUGACUAGAUAAAACUCUCAUUCUCUAAACCUGAAAUUCUAAAAAUUUAUGAAUUUACUAUUAUUGAUGUAAUUCGUAUUGAAUGGUGAUAAAAGUUUUUUUUUUGCAAAUCACAAUGCCUUCCUAAUAGGUCCAAUGGCCAACUCACACUUCUCAUCCUUAGAUGAGUUAAGCGGAGGCCCUAUCCCCAUUAGCUAAUCGAUGUUCUUCAUCCUAGUAUGAGUUUACCAGAGGUCC